This 498-nucleotide ribosomal RNA is filed under the name uncultured soil bacterium. Its description in RNAcentral is "bacterial SSU rRNA". It matches the Rfam family "Bacterial small subunit ribosomal RNA", at positions 26 to 518 of the family's 1533-position model. The record is from RNAcentral.
AGAUUGAACGCUGGCGGCAGGCCUAACACAUGCAAGUCGAGCGGUAGAGAGGUGCUUGCAUCUCUUGAGAGCGGCGGACGGGUGAGUAAUGCCUAGGAAUCUGCCUAGUGGUGGGGGAUAACGUUCGGAAACGGACGCUAAUACCGCAUACGUCCUACGGGAGAAAGCGGGGGACCUUCGGGCCUCGCGCCAUUAGAUGAGCCUAGGUCGGAUUAGCUAGUUGGUGAGGUAAUGGCUCACCAAGGCGACGAUCCGUAACUGGUCUGAGAGGAUGAUCAGUCACACUGGAACUGAGACACGGUCCAGACUCCUACGGGAGGCAGCAGUGGGGAAUAUUGGACAAUGGGCGAAAGCCUGAUCCAGCCAUGCCGCGUGUGUGAAGAAGGUCUUCGGAUUGUAAAGCACUUUAAGUUGGAGGAAGGGUUGUAACUUAAUACGUUGCAACUUUGACGUUAACCGACAGAAAUAAGCACCGGCUAACUUCGUGCCAGCAGCCGA